GGAACAGGAAGUUCCGGGUUGGCGCGCCCCAUUAUUCAGAAUAAAGAAAGCACCAGAACUGUGCAGUCAGGAAGAUGAAUUUUGUGUCCGUUUCAAAUGUUUUACUACAGGUAAAAUGGAUGCCUCCCGGGUGCCCCGUUAACGGUAGAACCGCUGGGCCUCGAGGGACCCUCCUUCAAGCUAACCAGUCAUUCUAACUGGCAUAAAACACCUGGAAAUCAUUCCACUGAUUCCGCUCCAGUCAUUACCACGAGCCGUUCUCCCCAAUUAAGGCCUGUUCAGAUUGUCUGAGGCAGGUAACAUCAACAGUCUGGACAAACCUCUCCUUCCACACUGAGUCCUGAUUGUGACAGUGGAGCCCAGUUUGCACUGCAGGAUCCAGAGAUGG
Coregonus clupeaformis (lake whitefish) is the source of this 388-nucleotide long non-coding RNA. RefSeq lists it as uncharacterized. NCBI's taxonomy places the organism in Eukaryota, Metazoa, Chordata, Actinopteri, Salmoniformes, Salmonidae. The transcript has 3 exons. The record is from RefSeq and is a predicted model, not a curated record.